UCCCAGGGUGACGCCCCGGCGAGCAAG
Molecule: small RNA, 27 nt
Filed under: Bombyx mori (domestic silkworm)
Lineage: Eukaryota; Metazoa; Arthropoda; Insecta; Lepidoptera; Bombycidae
Description: ovarian small RNA-27173
Source: RNAcentral